UAUAGUAAUUAUAUAAGCGGCGAUCGACGAGCUACAGUGUUAAGAACAGUAGUUUUACCACUCCGUGCAUUUAUUCCGUGUUGAUUGUUAAUUGUCUUUUUUAUCCUUUUGGUUUCAUCUUUUGUAUCCGUUUAAAUAAGAAUAUUUUGGUCUUUAAUGUUAAGUUGUGUCAGUGAUAUUUUCUCCCCAGAAAAAUUUUAGGCCGCAAGUCCAUCUCUCAUUCUCGCCUUCGUCUUCCUCCCACAUUUUUUCUCUCAACUCAGACCCUCUACCAUCCAUUUCUCGCGGCCCUCCAUUUCUCUUCAUGUAGCUAAAACCCAAAUCGCCAAAGCUGUGAAACCCAGCCCCAACACUUGUCUCUCCCUCUGUUUCCAUCAUCUCCACCACAUCAUCUCCCCAACGCCUGUCUCUCCCUCUGUGAAACCCAAAUCACCAAAGCUGUGAAACCCACCACCGUACGAAGUCUGGUCGAGGACGACCUGGUUCAAGGUCCUGAUUCCCAACAGUUAUUAGAGCCAGCAAGUAACUGCAAACAAAAGUAACCGACACUUUCCAGACACGCAGAUUUAACUUCUACAGCGAUCGAGCAAGCAAGUCAUGCAGUGGGGGUGUCACUCCCAAUUAUUCAGGGGUUUUCAUGGGGAUGGUAUUCGGGAUUGCAUUGAUGGCGGGAUGGAAACAAAUGAUGCGGUACCGGAGCACCAAGCGAAUUGCUAAGUGGGUUGCAGGAGAUACUGGAUGCGAUUUCGGAAGCGAAGGUGCUGGGCGAUGAUCACUAUUAUCAUGCGUGGGGUACACCUUGGGGUUAUGGAUACGAUGGCUCGACGAGGGAUUGGGACGACGUCGUGGCGGAGAUGUAGGAGGAGGUUUGCAGGGAAAGAGGUGGUGACGAGAUGGAGAGGUUUUGUGCGCAGAGGUUUCUGAAUGAGCCCUGAUCCUUUUAUUCAGUUUCCGUUGAGUACAGCUUUUACCAUAUGUAACAUUCUCAUUUAUAUAUAUAGUAGAUAUAUAAGUUUGUGUUGUGGAGGUGAAUUGUUAUUGUGGUGGAUGGUAUAUAUAUGGGUUCUAAAGUGGUAGGAAAUUUCUAUCUAUCUCUCUCCCUCUCUCUUACUCUCUCCCUCUCUCUUACUCAGUUACUCGCCGAAGGAAGAAAAUGCUAAUGCCAAAAAGAAACUAAUUAAAAACGAGAAGGAUAUGUUAUGUUUUCAGUCACAUUCUAUUAUCUAUAUCUAAUUGAUUUCAUUUUUUAUUAUUUUUUCCGGCUACCAUAUAUGCAGCUUUACUAGGGAACAAGUUGAACAACUUGACAAGAACAAGCAAUGGUCCAGGGCACUUGAUGGUUCUAAUUACCUCCCAGGAAUGGUACCUAUCUUUGGGCUGUCGAUAUAAAACUCCUUGGAUCCCUUAAUCGGGAUGAUUUGAAGAAAAUUUGCGGUGAUAAUUUUCCUGAAUGGAUAUCUUUCCCCGCCUUUGAACAGAGAGGACUCAAAAGAUCAUAUGGUUUGCUUUGUUUCGGCACAUAUCUUAGUCGAAUUAAAUGAUGUUUUUACAAGAUGGAAAUCUCUUGGGAAAAAGUGGGAUUAUGAAAGCUCUAAGGUUGGGCUAAAAACCUAUCAAGUGGAAAGCUGACAGACCAUUGAUACCAGAUACGGUGUUCAAAAAGUUCCUUUGCAUAAUAAUUUGUUGAUAAGAGGUCAUUGCCAACCAUUGACAAGGUCAAGGGAUAUGGUGGAAGAGAUGUGGAAGUCAUGAAGAUUGCACAUGAUUGCAUUCAGAAAUCAUUGCAGUUUAUACAUGAAAGAGAAAUUUCUCACCUAGAUGUCAAACCUUAUAAUAUUUAUGUAAAGAAUGGUGUUUAUAAGUUGUCAUUUUGGAUGUGCAAUUCUCACGGUAAGAGCUUGCAAAUUGAAUAAUGAUUUUGUAUGUUCAAUUUAUGUAAAGAAUGUGUUUUAUUUUCUGUUGUUCAACUUAAAUUAGUUUUAGUGCAUGUUGUUAUGAGAUGAUAAUGUCAUCUUCCAUUUCAAAGAUGUUACUGUUAUCUGUUUUUGCAAAAAUAAUUUCUAUAGAAUUAUUUUA
Carya illinoinensis is the source of this 2076-nucleotide long non-coding RNA. RefSeq lists it as uncharacterized. NCBI's taxonomy places the organism in Eukaryota, Viridiplantae, Streptophyta, Magnoliopsida, Fagales, Juglandaceae. The transcript is spliced from 6 exons. The record is from RefSeq and is a predicted model, not a curated record.